UUGUCCUACGGGACGCAGCAGUGAGGAAUAUUGGUCAAUGGGCGGGAGCCUGAACCUGCCAAGUCACGUGAGGGAAGACGGUCCUAUGAAUUGUAAACCUCUUUAGGCGGGGAGCAAUGCCGGGCACGUGUGCCCGGAGGGAGAGUACCCGCAGAAUAAGCAUCGGCUAACUCCGUGCCAGCAGCCGCGGUAAUACGGAGGAUGCGAGCGUUAUCCGGAUUUAUUGGGUUUAAAGGGUGCGUAGGCGGAUUUUUAAGUCAGCGGUAAAAUGUCCGGGCUCAACCCUGGCCUGCCGUUGAAACUGG
RNAcentral lists this ribosomal RNA (305 nucleotides) under uncultured bacterium. Its description in RNAcentral is "bacterial SSU rRNA". It matches the Rfam family "Bacterial small subunit ribosomal RNA", at positions 334 to 636 of the family's 1533-position model. The record is from RNAcentral.